UACAGAGGGUGCAAGCGUUAAUCGGAAUUACUGGUCGUAAAGCGUGCGUAGUCGGUUAUUUAAGUCGGGCGUGAAAGCCCCGGGCUCAACCUGGGAAUUGCGUUCGAUACUGGAUAGCUAGAGUUCGGCAGAGGGAAGCGGAAUUUCUGGUGUAGCGGUGAAAUGCGUAGAUAUCAGAAGGAACAUCAGUGGCGAAAGCGGCUUCCUGGACCAGAACUGACGAUCAGGCACGAAAGCGUGGGGAGCAAACAGG
RNAcentral lists this ribosomal RNA (253 nucleotides) under uncultured bacterium. RNAcentral's name for it is "partial 16S ribosomal RNA". It matches the Rfam family "Bacterial small subunit ribosomal RNA", at positions 524 to 776 of the family's 1533-position model. The record is from RNAcentral.